GAGCUGCACGUCCAAUACAGUAGUCACUCCACAUGUGGCUGUUGAACACCAGAAAUGUGGCCAGCAUGACUGAGCUUUACUGUUUUGAUAGGACUACACUUGAUUUCAGCUGUGACAUCAUGUGAGACAUUAGUGUUGCAGAGCACAUGUCAGCACAGAGAUCCUCUAAAGAGUUUUACAAGCCUGCCUACACAAACGGACACAUCUCUGAAGAUAUACCUGUCUCCCCAAGCCGUGGACAUUUACAAUGAAACCUUUCAACUCUGAGCCUUUUGCAACCAUGAUUUCAAAACAGAAGACACAGGUUCGGGAAUAGACCAUAAAUACUCCAAACAGGACUUCCACAGGGCUUCUCUGCUACCAGGAGAUGGCCUACGGCUGGUGAGGGAGUCUGCGUGGGACAUGAUUAAUAAGAGACCUUUGGGAGACAGAAAUGUUCUGUAAACAGCAAUCUCACGCAUACUUAGAAUCUGGCGUCUUGCUCAGUGCCAUGCUGGACAUCUAUGGCUGUGUUUGCUUAGCCCUUCUUCCUGGGAUCUGCUCCUGCCUCCACUCCAACCAGUGAGGGAUGGUCUGUCUCCCUUCAGGUGUGCAGUUGACCUAGUCCUUGUCCAGAAUGUUUUGGCUUGGAACCAAUCAAAGAGGAACAGCUCCUCUUGAGCACUGGAGAGUCAGAUGUAAAGCCCAGCCUCUCAGGGGCUAUGUUUUC
RNAcentral lists this long non-coding RNA (709 nucleotides) under Equus caballus (horse). Its description in RNAcentral is "lncRNA (ENSECAG00000046373.1)". Lineage: Eukaryota; Metazoa; Chordata; Mammalia; Perissodactyla; Equidae. The record is from RNAcentral.